Molecule: ribosomal RNA, 1401 nt
Filed under: Microhyla berdmorei (Pegu rice frog)
Lineage: Eukaryota; Metazoa; Chordata; Amphibia; Anura; Microhylidae
Description: partial 16S ribosomal RNA
Rfam family: Bacterial large subunit ribosomal RNA
Source: RNAcentral
GCUAAAAAUCUAGCUCUUCUUAUUCUUAUGAAUACCCCACCUUUUAACCAAUAAAUAAAUCAUUUUUUACAUAAAGUAAAGGCGAUAGAAAAAUGCCUAGAAGCUAUAGAAAACAGUACCGCAAGGGAAAGAUGAAAUAUUAAUGAAAAAUUGCAAGCACCAAAAAGCAGAGCUGCAACCUCGUACCUUUUGCAUCAUGGUCUAACUAGUCUAACCAAGCAAAAUGCAUUUUUAGUUUGACCCCCCGAAACUAGGUGAGCUACUUAAAAACAGCCAUUAGGGCCAACCCGUCUCUGUUGCAAAAGAGUGGGAAGAUUUUUAAGUAGGGGUGACAGACCUAUCGAACCUAGAGAUAGCUGGUUAUUUAGGAAAAGGAUUUAAGUCCUACCUUAAAAUUUUUAUACCCCAUCAAGUAUUUUCCAGAUUUUAAGAGCUAUUCAAAUAAGGUACAGCCUAUUUGAAACAGGAUACAACCUCAAUCAAUGGGUAACAAAGUGUUUCCUCAACUAAGUGGGCCUAAGAGCAGCCACCUUUAAAAAAGCGUUAAAGCUUCAUUGUUUAAUUAAAAAAUUCCAUUAACUACAUAAAACCCUUAACUCUGUACUAAAUAAUUUUAUAACUGUAUAAAAGCCCGUAUGUUGGAACUAGUAACAAGAAGAAAUCCUUCUCCAAAAUGUAAGCAUAAGCCAGAAUGAACCCCUCACUGGCAAUUAAAGUCAAUAAAACCCUAGAAGUAACUUAUCAAGAAAACCCUUCUACUGUAAACGUUAACCUUACACCAGCACAUUUCUGGAAAGAAAAAAAGAGGGGGAAGGAACUCGGCAAAUAAUUUAACCCCGCCUGUUUACCAAAAACAUCGCCUCUUGCUAACUAUAAGAGGUCCAGCCUGCCCAGUGACAAAGUUAAACGGCCGCGGUACCCUAACCGUGCAAAGGUAGCGCAAUCACUUGUUCUUUAAAUGAGGACUAGUAUGAACGGCAUCACGAGGGUUAUACUGUCUCCCCCCUUUUUUCAGUGAAACUGAUCUUCCCGUGAAGAAGCGGGAAUAUUAAUAUAAGACGAGAAGACCCCAUGGAGCUUUAAACUCAGAAUCAACUGCCACAAACUUAACUUAAUAACUAUGCAGGAAUGACUUCUAGUUUUCGGUUGGGGUGACCGCGGAGUAAAAUAAAACCUCCACGACGAAAGGAACUAACCACCUAAACCAAGAGCCACAGCUCUAAGUAUUAAAACAUUAACCUAAUUGAUCCAAUUACUUGAUCAACGAACCAAGUUACCCUGGGGAUAACAGCGCAAUCCAUUUCAAGAGCUCAUAUCGACAAAUGGGUUUACGACCUCGAUGUUGGAUCAGGAUAUCCAAGUGGCGCAGCCGCUACUAACGGUUCGUUUGUUCAACGAUUA